CUCCGGAAUGUAUUGAAACAGUGUCCACACGCCGUUUUCCAGAUAGCACUGAAAGAUGAAUCCCUGUCGCAAUAUGAUGCGACCUUAUUCUAGCCAUCAAGGUGAUAGUACUCCUCCUAUAAUUGC
This is a long non-coding RNA of Harpegnathos saltator (Jerdon's jumping ant), 126 nucleotides long. RefSeq lists it as uncharacterized. The record is from RefSeq and is a predicted model, not a curated record. NCBI's taxonomy places the organism in Eukaryota, Metazoa, Arthropoda, Insecta, Hymenoptera, Formicidae. The transcript is spliced from 2 exons.